AGGUCCAAUGACUUCUAAAUGCCCUGUUAAAGUGAAACAAGCAGCUUUCAUUAUAGAAGGAAGCAACACUGAAUUCUUAGUUGCUGAUUACGGUUCUGAUUGCUUUGUUCAGAUAAGUCAGGUAGGUAAAGUUGGAAAAAUUGUUAAGGCAAUACGGGACAAACCUGAUCAUCUGGACGGCUUCAGCACUUAUACAAUCACCAAUUUGCUAGGAGCAGACGACGAAAAGAUAGACGUUUUAGCUCGACAAAUUGUUGAGGAGUUGAACAGCAAGCCUCCUUACAAGUCACUACUACUUGGCUACUCCUGCAAAAAACUCCCGCCUUUUUCUACUAUUCUGAGUGUUUUAAAAGAGUUGGGUUUGAAAUCAAGUAAUGGCAAUGCAAUUCCUCCACCGAUUGCAAUGUAAUGGACAGUUGAACACCAGGAUCUCCAGACUGUAUUCAAGUACAUGCUCUUUGAACAUGAAGAAAUGUAGAAGGUCCAGCGAUACUUGUAAUAGAUUUGUUUCUUGUCACCACUGCCAAAGGUCUGUCAGAUUUGUUCAGACCUUUGGCAGCGGUGACAAGAAAUUGGGUGGUAUCAGAGGAAAGUUAGCGCACCUACUCACUUCGGAGACUUUUCAAUAUGCCAUUUGGUUUGUUGGCUGUAUGUGUCUAGUAUUUCUUACAGCUGCCAUUUCACAGAAACACAAAUACAAGGACUCCUCUCAUUUUACUGGGCAUGCUUCCUUGAUGGACGUCGAUCAGCUUGAGUCACUGAAAAACACAAAAAAAGGGGGAAAAGAAGACAAAAAGGGUCUUGAUGACAUAAUUGACGAGUUGUAUGACAAGCACAUUGCAAAUAAAGAUUUGAAUGAUUGGGAAAACAUCAGAACACCCCGACCAGAAGAACCGGACACAGUUGAAGCUAACCAGGAUAAAAGAGCGGCAAUGAUCAACAAGAAAACUGAUGAGGAAGCAAAAGAGUUCACAUCAGGUGACUUUGGCAAGAUUGAAGAAACUGAUAUUUCCCUUGAUUUUGAUGAUGAGGAGGUUAUAAGUACUGGAGGACAGUUAAAAUAUUAUGGUAAAGUUGGUGGAGUUAAACUUCCUCAAGCAAAUCAAAGAUACCGGUAAAACGGACGGUUUUGUUUGUACUUUUUUAUUUGUCAAUAAUUUUUGUUGAACAGAAACUCCAAUUUCUCCAGAUUGUGGCCCUAUUUAUAGUCUUUGAUAUUAAUUUGUUAAGAAUACUGUUCAAAA
Long non-coding RNA from Bolinopsis microptera, 1244 nucleotides. RefSeq lists it as uncharacterized. The record is from RefSeq and is a predicted model, not a curated record. The transcript is spliced from 4 exons. Lineage: Eukaryota; Metazoa; Ctenophora; Tentaculata; Lobata; Bolinopsidae.